RNAcentral lists this ribosomal RNA (515 nucleotides) under uncultured bacterium. RNAcentral describes it as "partial 16S ribosomal RNA". It matches the Rfam family "Bacterial small subunit ribosomal RNA", at positions 28 to 523 of the family's 1533-position model. The record is from RNAcentral.
GAUGAACGCUGGCGGCGUGCCUAAUACAUGCAAGUCGAGCGAAUGGAUUAAGAGCUUGCUCUUAUGAAGUUAGCGGCGGGCGGGUGAGUAACACGUGGGUAACCUGCCCAUAAGACUGGGAUAACUCCGGGAAACCGGGGCUAAUACCGGAUAACAUUUUGAACCGCAUGGUUCGAAAUUGAAAGGCGGCUUCGGCUGUCACUUACGGAUGGACCCGCGUCGCAUUAGCUAGUUGGUGAGGUAACGGCUCACCAAGGCAACGAUGCGUAGCCGACCUGGAAGGGUGAGCGGCCACCCUGGGACUGAGACACGGGCCCGACUCCUACGGGAGGCAGCAGUAGGGAAUCUACCGCAAUGGACGAAAGUCUGACGGAGCAACGCCGCGUGAGUGAUGAAGGCUUUCGGGUCGUAAAACUCUGUUGUUAGGGAAGAACAAGUGCUAGUUGAAUAAGCUGGCACCUUGACGGUACCUAACCAGAAAGCCACGGCUAACUACGUGCCAGCAGCCGCAGUAA